AAAAGAAAUCAACCGAGAUUCCGUAAGUAGUGGCGAGCGAACACGGAACAGCCUGCACGACUAAACCAUCAGCUAAGCAAAACGGUCUGGAAAGUCCGACGAUACAGGGUGAUAGUCCCGUAUGCGAAUAGCCGGUGGCGGGUCUGAGCGUGCGACAAGUAGGGCGGGACACGAGAAAUCCUGUCUGAAGAUGGGGGGACCAUCCUCCAAGGCUAAAUACUCGUGAUCGACCGAUAGUGAACCAGUACCGUGAGGGAAAGGCGAAAAGAACCCCGGGAGGGGAGUGAAAUAGAUCCUGAAACCGCAUGCAUACAAACAGUGGGAGCCUCGUAAGGGGUGACUGCGUACCUUUUGUAUAAUGGGUCAGCGACUUACGUUCAGUAGCGAGCUUAACCGAAUAGGGGAGGCGUAGCGAAAGCGAGUCUGAUAAGGGCGUCAGAGUUGCUGGGCGUAGACCCGAAACCGGAUGAUCUAUCCAUGGCCAGG
RNAcentral lists this ribosomal RNA (486 nucleotides) under uncultured bacterium. RNAcentral describes it as "bacterial LSU rRNA". It matches the Rfam family "Bacterial large subunit ribosomal RNA", at positions 217 to 744 of the family's 2925-position model. The record is from RNAcentral.